Non-coding RNA from Nitzschia inconspicua, 84 nucleotides. The record is from the annotation of a GenBank genome assembly. Lineage: Eukaryota; Bacillariophyta; Bacillariophyceae; Bacillariales; Bacillariaceae.
CUCGCUAUAGCUCAGUUGGUAGAGCGGUGGACUGUAGUUGGUUCAGUCAUCCAUCGGUCCUUGGUUCGACUCCGAGUGGCGAGA